Ornithodoros turicata is the source of this 106-nucleotide small nuclear RNA. NCBI's taxonomy places the organism in Eukaryota, Metazoa, Arthropoda, Arachnida, Ixodida, Argasidae. The record is from RefSeq and is a predicted model, not a curated record.
UAACUGUUCGGGAUCCUAUUCCACCGUACUUCCAAAGAUACAGAGAAGAUUACCAUGGCCCCUGCGCAAGGAUGACACGCAAAAUCGUGAAGCGUUCCACAUUUUU